GGAUUGUGGCUCAGUGGUAGAGAACUUGCCUUGCAUGUGUGAGGCCCUGGGUUCAGUCCCCAGCACCA
This 68-nucleotide transfer RNA is filed under the name Marmota monax (woodchuck). Its description in RNAcentral is "tRNA.Ala". Lineage: Eukaryota; Metazoa; Chordata; Mammalia; Rodentia; Sciuridae. The record is from RNAcentral.